Molecule: non-coding RNA, 1047 nt
Organism: Chiloscyllium plagiosum (whitespotted bambooshark)
Lineage: Eukaryota; Metazoa; Chordata; Chondrichthyes; Orectolobiformes; Hemiscylliidae
Source: RefSeq, a predicted model, not a curated record
CUCACUUUACCUCACCUUCUCUUUGGCUGCCAGAUGCAGCAGUGGCUUUUGGUUAAAUCUUGCUUUUCCCAUUACAUCUUGUUUGAAUCACCUCCCCAUUCAUUAGUUGCCUCUUCAUCCCAUUCUUUCCCCCAUGCACCUGAUCCCAGCAAUCAAAAGGAAAGUGGGUGUUAUCAAUACAAUUACAAGCAUCCCACUGAUCACCUUUCAGAUCUUUGCAGAGAAACUACUGAGGUGUAGCAACAGCAUCUGAAAAAGAUGCUUGAGAAGGUGUCCAUUAGACAAGGAUAUUCAGAAGACCAUUCUGGAUGGAUGGGGCUGAGUUACAUGUCAAACCUUAAAGUCAGGUUUAUCAACACGGGUUUUGCAUUUACAUUUGUUCAAGUGGUAAAAGGUUUGUGUUUGUGACAAUACAGGACAUCGCUCAAAACAAUUUGCUCCUGAUCAUUUUGCACGGCAGUUUGAAAGAAAUACCUUGCGUUCAUGAAGAGAACAGGAUUGUGUCACAAAGUAUUUUCCAGCUAAUGAAGUGCUUGUAAAGUGCAGUUGCAAAGUUGGCGCUGUAUCGUUAUAUUAAUGUUGAGUUAUUGGAACUAAUUGUUAUGAGAGUACAUUGAGGGUGACACAUUUUACUGCUGCACUAGAGCCACAUGAUAAACAAAUUACCAGCCACAUAGAGACGAGAAAGAAACAAUGCUAUUAAUGAAGCAUUUUGAAUCCAAUGUAAUUAUUUCUAACUUAUGAGAAACAGAAGCCCUAACAGUGGGGAACCGUAGCAGCCAAUCUGUGUAGUGCACAGUUCUGAAAAUAGCAAUCGGAAAAUGACCUAGCAAAGUUGGUUGAGGGAUAAUGAUUAGCCAAACAGGCUUAAACACUUCCAAAUCUCCAAGAUGUUCAUCAACCUGAAACAUUCACUCCCUGUCUCCCUCCACAGAUGCUGCCUGAUCUCCUGAAUGUUUCUAGCACAUAUAUUUUUGCUUAAUAUUUCCUUUGAAAGUUAGUACCUCCAACAGUACAGCAUUCUUGCAGUGCUGCAUUAGAGCAUCA